AGGGAGUAGUUUAAAAAAUAACAAAUUUGGAAUUUGUAGAUCACUAUUGUGUUUCCUG
RNAcentral lists this transfer RNA (58 nucleotides) under Anatoecus dentatus. Its description in RNAcentral is "tRNA-Pro". Lineage: Eukaryota; Metazoa; Arthropoda; Insecta; Psocodea; Philopteridae. The record is from RNAcentral.